GUCUUUAACCCAACCCUAAUAACUUCCACUUACCCGUUUGUCGAAGUAUAAAGCCGUCACGUCGCAGUCCACACCACCUGCACGAGGGAAGGGGCCCAACAUCUCCGCCGGGGAGGCCGUCGCCGGGAUCCUCCGCACAUCGCUUGGCCCCAUGGGCAUGGACAAGAUGCUCCAGAUCCCCGACGGCGACGUCGUCAUCAGUCAUUGGUGCAGGAAAAUAAUCCAUGUUGCGGCAUAGAUUGCAAUGAUGUUGGGACAAAUAACAUGAAAGAGCAGAAUGUGUUUGAAACACUGAUUGGCAAACAACGACAGAUCUUGCUUGCAACACAAGUUGUGAAAAUGAUUUUGAAGAUUGAUGAUGUGAUCACUCCAUCUGACUAUCGAUUUUGGUGGCUGAGGUUGUGAGCCAGGACAUAAACUAUCAGAAUUCGCCAUUGCUAAGUGGAAGAAGAAUCAGCCAGGCAUCAUUUGCAUUUUAUGGAUGCAUGUAUUUUUGGGCAAAUUGGUCAUCUGAAAUUCGGAUCACGCAGAAGUUGACUAAUCGUUGCAAUUGAAAACCAGACGGCACUCAACUUGGGUAACUAGAUUUUCUUUGCAAUGCCCGACGUUGUUGUCCUCCUUGAUUGGAAAAUUUUGAUAAGUAGAACUGUUAAUAUAUUAGACAAGAGUGCAUAGCUUGAGUUUAGGUAUUUUGAACUAGUAGAUCACUUAUGUUGUUAAGUUAUUAUUUCUUUAUUAUUUAGCUCUUUCUUGUCAAAAUUCAUGUGUAUUCAACCAUGAUAGUGACGGAAAUGUGGAUUAUGGUGAUUAUUUAUUUUAUAAGACUAGUUGGUAAUAUUGUUUUCUGCCAUGAAUGGGGUCUUUU
Molecule: long non-coding RNA, 865 nt
Organism: Musa acuminata AAA Group (dessert banana)
Lineage: Eukaryota; Viridiplantae; Streptophyta; Magnoliopsida; Zingiberales; Musaceae
Exons: 3
Source: RefSeq, a predicted model, not a curated record